Molecule: long non-coding RNA, 283 nt
Organism: Zonotrichia leucophrys gambelii
Lineage: Eukaryota; Metazoa; Chordata; Aves; Passeriformes; Passerellidae
Exons: 3
Source: RefSeq, a predicted model, not a curated record
UGAUGGAGUGACGUCACAGAAAGGGAAACCACGCCCAUUUUCCCCCUCAGGACGCGCCGCCAUUUUGGAUCCGCCGCCGCUCCCUGAGGUGAUGCCAGACCUUCCCAAAGAUCCCCCAGAUUUGGGGUCUCUCCAGGAGCUGCGGGCCGCCCUGGAGGGGGCGCUGCUGCGCUGCCCGGCCGAGGCCGAGCCCCCCGAGCUGGGCCCGGUGCUGCGGCUGCCGCUGCUCCCGACGGAGAAACUGAAACUCGUGCAGGGCAAACGGAUCCUCUGCGACAACCUG